AGUAAAUUGGUUAAGUUAGAAAGGGCGCACGGUGGAUGCCUUGGCACUAGGAGCCGAAGAAGGACGGGACUAACACCGAUAUGCUUUGGGGAGCUGUACGUAAGCGUU
This 108-nucleotide ribosomal RNA is filed under the name Listeria monocytogenes. Its description in RNAcentral is "partial 23S ribosomal RNA". It matches the Rfam family "Bacterial large subunit ribosomal RNA", at positions 1 to 100 of the family's 2925-position model. The record is from RNAcentral. Lineage: Bacteria; Bacillati; Bacillota; Bacilli; Caryophanales; Listeriaceae.